Molecule: ribosomal RNA, 474 nt
Filed under: uncultured bacterium
Lineage: Bacteria
Description: bacterial SSU rRNA
Rfam family: Bacterial small subunit ribosomal RNA
Source: RNAcentral
CUUGCUUCUCUUGAGAGCGGCGGACGGGUGAGUAAUGCCUAGGAAUCUGCCUGGUAGUGGGGGAUAACGUCCGGAAACGGACGCUAAUACCGCAUACGUCCUACGGGAGAAAGCAGGGGACCUUCGGGCCUUGCGCUAUCAGAUGAGCCUAGGUCGGAUUAGCUAGUUGGUGGGGUAAUGGCUCACCAAGGCGACGAUCCGUAACUGGUCUGAGAGGAUGAUCAGUCACACUGGAACUGAGACACGGUCCAGACUCCUACGGGAGGCAGCAGUGGGGAAUAUUGGACAAUGGGCGAAAGCCUGAUCCAGCCAUGCCGCGUGUGUGAAGAAGGUCUUCGGAUUGUAAAGCACUUUAAGUUGGGAGGAAGGGCAGUAAAUUAAUACUUUGCUGUUUUGACGUUACCGACAGAAUAAGCACCGGCUAACUCUGUGCCAGCAGCCGCGGUAAUACAGAGGGUGCAAGCGUUAAUCGGA